Molecule: ribosomal RNA, 1234 nt
Filed under: metagenome
Description: bacterial LSU rRNA
Rfam family: Bacterial large subunit ribosomal RNA
Source: RNAcentral
UGAAUACGAGAUGCUACGGCGUCGAAGCAGUCUAUGUCAUACUUCCAAGAAAAGCUCGCACUGUCAUAAACAAAUAAUGCCUGUACCAUAACCGACACAGGUGGGUAGGUAGAGUAUACUAAGGGGCGCGAGAUAACUCUCUCUAAGGAACUCGGCAAAAUGACUCCGUAACUUCGGGAGAAGGAGUGCCUUAUUUAUAAGGUUGCAAUAACAAGAUCCAAGCAACUGUUUAUCAAAAACACAGGUCUCCGCUAAGUCGUAAGACGAUGUAUGGGGGCUGACGCCUGCCCAGUGCCAGAAGGUUAAAGAAGUUGGUUAGCAUUCGCGAAGCUGAUAACUGAAGCCCUGGUGAACGGCGGCCGUAACAAUAACGGUCCUAAGGUAGCGAAAUUCCUUGUCGGGUAAGUUCCGACCCGCACGAAAGGCGUAAUGAUUUGGAUACUGUCUCGGAGAGGGGCUCGGUGAAAUAGACUUGUCUGUGAAGAUGCGGACUACCUGCACCAGGACAGAAAGACCCUAUGAAGCUUUACUGUAACUUGAGAUUGAAAUUGGACUUUACUUGCGCAGUAUAGGUGGGAGGCGUUGAUAAUAUUCUUGCGGGAUUAUUUGAGCCAUCAGUGAGAUACCACUCUUGUAAUGUUAGAUUUCUAACUUUGUAUCAUUAUCUGGUCAAAGGACAGUUUCAGGCGGGCAGUUUGACUGGGGCGGUCGCCUCCUAAACGGUAACGGAGGCGCACAAAGGUUUCCUCUGAACGGGUAGAAAUCGUAUCUAGAGUGUAAAGGCAUAAGGAAGCUUGACUGUGAGACCUACAAGUCGAGCAGGGACGAAAGUCGGUCUUAGUGAUCUGACGGUGCUGAGUGGAAAGGCCGUCACUCAACGGAUAAAAGUUACUCUAGGAUAACAGGCUGAUCUCCCCCAAGAGUUCACAUCGACGGGGAGGUUUGGCACCUCGAUGUCGGCUCAUCGCAUCCUGGGGCGGUAGUACGUCCCAAGGGUUGGGCUGUUCGCCCAUGAAAGCGGUACGCGAGCUGGGUUCAGAACGUCGUGAGACAGUUCGGUCCAUAUCCGGUGUAGGCGUUAGAAUAUUGAGAGGAGCCUUCUUUAGUACGAGAGGACCGAGAAGGACAUACCUCUGGUGUACCAGUUAUCGUGCCAACGGUAAACGCUGGGUAGCUAUGUAUGGAGUGGAUAACCGCUGAAAGCAUCUAAGUGGGAAGCCCACCUCGAGAUAAG